ACAUUUCCACCGCAAUGCCUUCACCUCUGCCGCAACCCCAGCCGUGCACGGGGUCCUUCCUUUGGCAAUACCGCACGAUCCAUGUCGUACACACGUUUCAAUACCUUUGUCGUACACAUCUGCAAGCAGUUGCAAGGUACUCACCCUCGGCAGUCGUAGCAGCAGCAGCAGCAGCAGCAGGAGGGCCACGGUGGCCCCUCACGUAGCAGGCCCAGGCUCAUGCGGUCAGAUAGCGACAUGCAAACGGGAACGGCCGCGCGUUUGAACAAGCCAGCGCGUCAUGU
RNAcentral lists this long non-coding RNA (284 nucleotides) under Volvox carteri. Its description in RNAcentral is "long non-coding RNA (VCAR_LNC001446)". Lineage: Eukaryota; Viridiplantae; Chlorophyta; Chlorophyceae; Chlamydomonadales; Volvocaceae. The record is from RNAcentral.